GGCAGUUCUUGGGUGAUGCACCUGGACUCAGGAUCCCUCCUCUCUGGUUCCGGGUGUGUCACCCAAGAACCGCC
This is a non-coding RNA of Myotis brandtii (Brandt's bat), 74 nucleotides long. The record is from Rfam. NCBI's taxonomy places the organism in Eukaryota, Metazoa, Chordata, Mammalia, Chiroptera, Vespertilionidae.